Molecule: ribosomal RNA, 255 nt
Filed under: uncultured bacterium
Lineage: Bacteria
Description: partial 16S ribosomal RNA
Rfam family: Bacterial small subunit ribosomal RNA
Source: RNAcentral
CGGACGGGUGAGUAACGCGUGGGCAACCUGCCCCAUACAGGGGGAUAACAGUUAGAAAUGACUGCUAACACCGCAUAAGCGCACAGGGCCGCAUGGCUCGGUGUGAAAAACUCCGGUGGUAUGGGAUGGGCCCGCGUCUGAUUAGCCAGUUGGCGGGGUAACGGCCCACCAAAGCGACGAUCAGUAGCCGACCUGAGAGGGUGACCGGCCACAUUGGGACUGAGACACGGCCCAAACUCCUACGGAAGGCAGCAG